UAAUACGAAGGGGGCGAGCGUUAUUCGGAAUCACUGGGCGUAAAGCGUGCGUAGGCUGUUCGGAAAGUCAGAAGUGAAAGCCCAAGGCUCAACCUUGGAAGCGCUUUUGAAACUACCGGACUAGGAUUUGGGAGAGGAUAGCGGAAUUGUCAGUGUAGCAGUGAAAUGCGUAGAUAUUGACAGGAACACCAGUGGCGCAAGCGGCUAUCUGGACCAACAUCGACGCUGAGGCACGAAAGCGUGGGGAUCAAACAGGAUUAGAUACCCUGGUAGUCCACGCCGUAAACGAUGUGUGUUUGUCGCUGGGGGGUUCCCCUUCGGUGACGAAGCUAACGCGUUAAGCACACCGCCUGGGAAGUACGGCCGCAAGGUUA
Molecule: ribosomal RNA, 374 nt
Filed under: uncultured bacterium
Lineage: Bacteria
Description: bacterial SSU rRNA
Rfam family: Bacterial small subunit ribosomal RNA
Source: RNAcentral